This 440-nucleotide ribosomal RNA is filed under the name uncultured bacterium. RNAcentral's name for it is "partial 16S ribosomal RNA". It matches the Rfam family "Bacterial small subunit ribosomal RNA", at positions 338 to 795 of the family's 1533-position model. The record is from RNAcentral.
CCUACGGGGGGCAGCAGUGGGGGAUAUUGCACAAUGGGCGCAAGCCUGAUGCAGCGAAGUCGCGUGAGCGAAGAAGUACCUCGGUAUGUAAAGCUUCAUCAGCCGGGAAGAAAAUGACGGUACCUGACUACGAAGCUCCGGUUAAAUACGUGCCAGCAGCCGCGGUAAUACGUAGGGAGCCAGCGUUAUCCGGAUUUACUGGGUGUAAAGGGGGCGUAGGCGGGUCUGUAAGUCUGAUGUGAAAAUUUGGGGCUCAACCCCAAACGUGCAGUUGAAACUGCAGGGCUUGAGUGCCGGAGAGGCAGGCGGAAUGCCUGGUGUAGCGGUGAAAUGCGUAGAUAUUAGGAGGAACACCAGUGGCGAAGGCAGCCUGCUGGACGGUAACUGACGCUGAGGCUCGAAAGCGUGGGGAGCGAACAGGAUUAGAUACCCUUGUAGUC